Molecule: ribosomal RNA, 460 nt
Filed under: uncultured bacterium
Lineage: Bacteria
Description: partial 16S ribosomal RNA
Rfam family: Bacterial small subunit ribosomal RNA
Source: RNAcentral
UGGGGAAUAUUGCACAAUGGGCGCAAGCCUGAUGCAGCCAUGCCGCGUGUGUGAAGAAGGCCUUCGGGUUGUAAAGCACUUUCAGCGAGGAGGAAGGUGGUGGACUUAAUACGUUCAUCAAUUGACGUUACUCGCAGAAGAAGCACCGGCUAACUCCGUGCCAGCAGCCGCGGUAAUACGGAGGGUGCAAGCGUUAAUCGGAAUUACUGGGCGUAAAGCGCACGCAGGCGGUUUGUUAAGUCAGAUGUGAAAUCCCCGGGCUCAACCUGGGAACUGCAUUUGAAACUGGCAAGCUAGAGUCUCGUAGAGGGGGGUAGAAUUCCAGGUGUAGCGGUGAAAUGCGUAGAGAUCUGGAGGAAUACCGGUGGCGAAGGCGGCCCCCCUGGANGAAGACUGACGCUCAGGUGCGAAAAGGCGUGGGGGACAAAACAGGAUUAGAUACCCUGGUAGUCCACGCUGU